AUGAACGCUGGCGGCGUGCCUAAUACAUGCAAGUCGCGCGAACAGACGAGGAGCUUGCUCCUCUGACGUUAGCGGCGGACGGGUGAGUAACACGUGGAUAACCUACCUAUAAGACUGGGAUAACUUCGGGAAACCGGAGCUAAUACCGGAUAAUAUAUUGAACCGCAUGGUUCAAUAGUGAAAGACGGUUUUGCUGUCACUUAUAGAUGGAUCCGCGCCGCAUUAGCUAGUUGGUAAGGUAACGGCUUACCAAGGCAAUGAUGCGUAGCCGACCUGAGAGGGUGAUCGGCCACACUGGAACUGAGACACGGUCCAGACUCCUACGGGAGGCAGCAGUAGGGAAUCUUCCGCAAUGGGCGAAAGCCUGACGGAGCAACGCCGCGUGAGUGAUGAAGGUCUUCGGAUCGUAAAACUCUGUUAUUAGGGAAGAACAAAUGUGUAAGUAACUAUGCACGUCUUGACGGUACCUAAUCAGAAAGCCACGGCUAACUACGUG
Molecule: ribosomal RNA, 496 nt
Filed under: uncultured bacterium
Lineage: Bacteria
Description: partial 16S ribosomal RNA
Rfam family: Bacterial small subunit ribosomal RNA
Source: RNAcentral